Molecule: non-coding RNA, 69 nt
Organism: Podarcis lilfordi (Lilford's wall lizard)
Lineage: Eukaryota; Metazoa; Chordata; Lepidosauria; Squamata; Lacertidae
Source: the annotation of a GenBank genome assembly
GCAGUGGCUUAGGAGCAGAGCAUCUGCUUUGCGUGCAGAAUGUCCCAGGUGAAAUCCCUGGCAUCUCUA